This 261-nucleotide ribosomal RNA is filed under the name uncultured bacterium. RNAcentral describes it as "partial 16S ribosomal RNA". It matches the Rfam family "Bacterial small subunit ribosomal RNA", at positions 793 to 1055 of the family's 1533-position model. The record is from RNAcentral.
GUCCACGCUGUAAACGUUGGGCGCUAGGUGUGGGGAUCUUCCACGAUCUCCGUGCCGGAGCUAACGCAUUAAGCGCCCCGCCUGGGGAGUACGGCCGCAAGGCUAAAACUCAAAGGAAUUGACGGGGGCCCCGCACAAGCGGCGGAGCAUGUUGCUUAAAUUCGACGCAACGCGAAGAACCUUACCAAGGUUUGACAUCACCCGGAACCUGCAGAGAUGUGGGCUUCUUCGGACUGGGUACAGGUGGUGCAUGGCUGUCGU